GACGAACGCUGGCGGCGUGCUUAACACAUGCAAGUCGAACGAUGAAGAAAAGAAUUGAAGCUUCGGCAGAAAUUCAUUUCGGAUUAGUGGCAGACGGGUGAGUAACGCGUGAGCAACCUACCUCUUACAAAGGGAUAGCCUCGGGAAACCGGGAUUAAUACCAUAUAACAUUGCGACGAAGCAUUUCGAUGCAAUCAAAGCUACGGCGGUAAGAGAUGGGCUCGCGUCCCAUUAACCAGAUGGUGAGGUAACGGCUCACCAUAGUAACGAUGGGUAACCGGGCUGAGAGGGUGAACGGUCACACUGGAACUGAGACACGGUCCAGAAUCCUACGGGAGGCAGCAGUGGGGAAUAUUGCACAAUGGAGGGAACUCUGAUGCAGCGACGCCGCGUGAGUGAUGAAGGAAUUCGUUUCGUAAAACUCUGUUCUAUGGGAAGAAAAGGACUGUACCAUAGGAGAAAGCUCCGGCUAAAUACGUG
Molecule: ribosomal RNA, 480 nt
Filed under: uncultured bacterium
Lineage: Bacteria
Description: partial 16S ribosomal RNA
Rfam family: Bacterial small subunit ribosomal RNA
Source: RNAcentral